UUUUAAGUAAUGACCAAAAGGCCUGCUCUGUGAUGUCGCUAAUAUUGUUGGACAUUGCAAGGGUGAAAUGAAAGCCGCUGGGAUCCCAUUCUUAUUGUGUUAGCACAUAAGUGUAUCUAUUUUGAAUAGGCCUAAUGCAAGUCUUGUUAUUGAGGGUUAUGUUUCAUGAAGCUACAUACCACUUUUCCAAGUCUUGGACUCAUUAUUCAUGGUUCCCUCCCUAUAUGUCUUAUGUGUAUAAGUCUCCUGCAAAGGUAUUUCAAAGUGAAGGUUCCAUUACACACAAAUAAAGGGCUGCAUCCUAAUUUUGUUUUUCUGCAACUGAUGUGAUUUCUUGAUCCCUGUUUGGAGACUGUCCUUGCAUUGAAUACCAUUAUUUUGACCUUAAGUUUAAUUUCAUUCUAAAGCAUAUAGGCAUUUAAUUAAAGUAAUCUUAAACAAAGGAUCUCACUUCAACUGUGUAAAUUCCAUUCUUCUACUUUCUUUUUUGAGACUUAUGAGUUUUUGACUUGUAGGCAAUAUAUAUUAGAUAAAUCAUUAAUUUUUGUUGGAAAUGAUGUCAGUCUAAGCUAUUGCAUCAUUGUUGCUGGACGUACUUAACCAGACCAUUUGAAAUGGAAAAGGAUGGAAAUUUUGUGUAGCCUUCUACCUCUAAUUUUUUCCAACUGGUGUUUGGUUUGACAUUGAACAUCUUAGCUUGUAAGAUUUAGAGGGACAAUAUUAAUGCUAAAAUUUGUUGAGGCCUAUUUGGUUAUAUAAGCAUUUAUUUUGAUAAUGAUAAGCUGUACACAUUCUUUUACUGAAUUAUCUAUUUAUUUUUGCAGAAAGCAAUCCGGGAGCCUCAAG
RNAcentral lists this unclassified non-coding RNA (846 nucleotides) under Hevea brasiliensis (rubber tree). The record is from RNAcentral. Lineage: Eukaryota; Viridiplantae; Streptophyta; Magnoliopsida; Malpighiales; Euphorbiaceae.